This is a long non-coding RNA of Juglans microcarpa x Juglans regia, 903 nucleotides long. RefSeq lists it as uncharacterized. NCBI's taxonomy places the organism in Eukaryota, Viridiplantae, Streptophyta, Magnoliopsida, Fagales, Juglandaceae. The transcript has 3 exons. The record is from RefSeq and is a predicted model, not a curated record.
GUGGAACAAUGUGAAGAGAUGAGCAUAAAAUCCAGGGAUCAGAGCUUGAUGAUAUCAUUGUAAACCAUCCUACUGAAGUAAGGUUUCAUCACAUCCAGCCAAACAAAUUUGGCUUUCCUACACAUCACCUUUAUAUUUUGUCAUAUAAUUUUUGUAUCCCCUCGAAAAAGGGGAAUGGGAAAGGGAGGGGGAGGUUGUGGGGAGUAAUGGUGCAAAAACUUGCUUCAUUCUUGCACAGUUUAGCUCAAGUAUGCGAGCUGUUGCAGCAACAAGAUAUGAGCAUGGCAUUUUUUCUUGUUAUUUUAGAAUUUCUAUUUAUUUAUUAAAAUGAUUAGUAGAUUCAAUGUCAUCAUGUUUCUUUUUUCCCUGCUGUUUUCCAGGAUGGGCCAACCAAUAAAACCACUCACAAUUCUGAAUUGAAUGGUAACCAAUACGAGGUCUAUAACAAUUUGUCCCUGGUUUUCUUCUGUGACUUGAUUGGACAUGGGUACAGAUAAUAAGUAUAUAUGACAAUGCUUUGCCUGUCCAUGAACCCAAACUGAAGAACCAUUUACCAUGUCCCCAAAAUAUUGCAGAACGCUUCAGAAAAGGAGUGAAUCAUCCACUUUGGUGAAGAAGUAGAUCAAUUUCGACAACAUCAUAAGAGAUUUAAUGUCCUGUCCAUCACCCCCAUCAAUAAAACGCCAACAUAAACUCUAAAUAUCGAUUCCCACCAAGCUGCGCAGCCUUCUAUUUAAAUAACUUAAUGAAACAUUGGCAUGACAUCUACUGUUGGCUAAAAAAACUGUAAUAUAAAUUGUCAUGCUUUGCUUAUUCACUAAGCUUGCAUGUAUUUACGAUCUGUUUUAACUUUAUACUGUUUCACUUGGUACUUUACGAACAUAUUCUAAUUAUGUACUUUGU